RNAcentral lists this microRNA precursor (105 nucleotides) under Marmota monax (woodchuck). The record is from RNAcentral. Lineage: Eukaryota; Metazoa; Chordata; Mammalia; Rodentia; Sciuridae.
GGAUGAAUCACUUGGGGAUCUAAUUAGAAUCCAAAUUCUGACUCAUCAGUUCUAGGCUGUGGCCUAAGAGUGUGCCUUUCUGACACGUUCCCAGGGGAUGAUGUG